AGCGUACACGGUGGAUGCCCUGGCAGUCAGAGGCGAUGAAGGACGUGCUAAUCUGCGAUAAGCGUCGGUAAGGUGAUAUGAACCGUUAUAACCGGCGAUUUCCGAAUGGGGAAACCCAGUGUGUUUCGACACACUAUCAUUAACUGAAUCCAUAGGUUAAUGAGGCGAACCGGGGGAACUGAAACAUCUAAGUACCCCGAGGAAAAGAAAUCAACCGAGAUUCCCCCAGUAGCGGCGAGCGAACGGGGAGCAGCCCAGAGCCUGAAUCAGUGUGUGUGUUAGUGGAAGCGUCUGGAAAGGCGCGCGAUACAGGGUGACAGCCCCGUACACAAAAAUGCACAUGCUGUGAGCUCGAUGAGUAGGGCGGGACACGUGGUAUCCUGUCUGAAUAUGGGGGGACCAUCCUCCAAGGCUAAAUACUCCUGACUGACCGAUAGUGAACCAGUACCGUGAGGGAAAGGCGAAAAGAACCCCGGCGAGGGGAGUGAAAAAGAACCUGAAACCGUGUACGUACAAGCAGUGGGAGCACGCUUAGGCGUGUGACUGCGUACCUUUUGUAUAAUGGGUCAGCGACUUAUAUUCUGUAGCAAGGUUAACCGAAUAGGGGAGCCGAAGGGAAACCGAGUCUUAACUGGGCGUUAAGUUGCAGGGUAUAGACCCGAAACCCGGUGAUCUAGCCAUGGGCAGGUUGAAGGUUGGGUAACACUAACUGGAGGACCGAACCGACUAAUGUUGAAAAAUUAGCGGAUGACUUGUGGCUGGGGGUGAAAGGCCAAUCAAACCGGGAGAUAGCUGGUUCUCCCCGAAAGCUAUUUAGGUAGCGCCUCGUGAAUUCAUCUCCGGGGGUAGAGCACUGUUUCGGCAAGGGGGUCAUCCCGACUUACCAACCCGAUGCAAACUGCGAAUACCGGAGAAUGUUAUCACGGGAGACACACGGCGGGUGCUAACGUCCGUCGUGAAGAGGGAAACAACCCAGACCGCCAGCUAAGGUCCCAAAGUCAUGGUUAAGUGGGAAACGAUGUGGGAAGGCCCAGACAGCCAGGAUGUUGGCUUAGAAGCAGCCAUCAUUUAAAGAAAGCGUAAUAGCUCACUGGUCGAGUCGGCCUGCGCGGAAGAUGUAACGGGGCUAAACCAUGCACCGAAGCUGCGGCAGCGACGCUGAUGCGUUGUUGGGUAGGGGAGCGUUCUGUAAGCCUGCGAAGGUGUGCUGUGAGGCAUGCUGGAGGUAUCAGAAGUGCGAAUGCUGACAUAAGUAACGAUAAAGCGGGUGAAAAGCCCGCUCGCCGGAAGACCAAGGGUUCCUGUCCAACGUUAAUCGGGGCAGGGUGAGUCGACCCCUAAGGCGAGGCCGAAAGGCGUAGUCGAUGGGAAACAGGUUAAUAUUCCUGUACUUGGUGUUACUGCGAAGGGGGGACGGAGAAGGCUAUGUUGGCCGGGCGACGGUUGUCCCGGUUUAAGCGUGUAGGCUGGUUUUCCAGGCAAAUCCGGAAAAUCAAGGCUGAGGCGUGAUGACGAGGCACUACGGUGCUGAAGCAACAAAUGCCCUGCUUCCAGGAAAAGCCUCUAAGCAUCAGGUAACAUCAAAUCGUACCCCAAACCGACACAGGUGGUCAGGUAGAGAAUACCAAGGCGCUUGAGAGAACUCGGGUGAAGGAACUAGGCAAAAUGGUGCCGUAACUUCGGGAGAAGGCACGCUGAUAUGUAGGUGAAGUCCCUUGCGGAUGGAGCUGAAAUCAGUCGAAGAUACCAGCUGGCUGCAACUGUUUAUUAAAAACACAGCACUGUGCAAACACGAAAGUGGACGUAUACGGUGUGACGCCUGCCCGGUGCCGGAAGGUUAAUUGAUGGGGUCAGCGCAAGCGAAGCUCUUGAUCGAAGCCCCGGUAAACGGCGGCCGUAACUAUAACGGUCCUAAGGUAGCGAAAUUCCUUGUCGGGUAAGUUCCGACCUGCACGAAUGGCGUAAUGAUGGCCAGGCUGUCUCCACCCGAGACUCAGUGAAAUUGAACUCGCUGUGAAGAUGCAGUGUACCCGCGGCAAGACGGAAAGACCCCGUGAACCUUUACUAUAGCUUGACACUGAACAUUGAGCCUUGAUGUGUAGGAUAGGUGGGAGGCUUUGAAGUGUGGACGCCAGUCUGCAUGGAGCCGACCUUGAAAUACCACCCUUUAAUGUUUGAUGUUCUAACGUUGACCCGUAAUCCGGGUUGCGGACAGUGUCUGGUGGGUAGUUUGACUGGGGCGGUCUCCUCCUAAAGAGUAACGGAGGAGCACGAAGGUUGGCUAAUCCUGGUCGGACAUCAGGAGGUUAGUGCAAUGGCAUAAGCCAGCUUGACUGCGAGCGUGACGGCGCGAGCAGGUGCGAAAGCAGGUCAUAGUGAUCCGGUGGUUCUGAAUGGAAGGGCCAUCGCUCAACGGAUAAAAGGUACUCCGGGGAUAACAGGCUGAUACCGCCCAAGAGUUCAUAUCGACGGCGGUGUUUGGCACCUCGAUGUCGGCUCAUCACAUCCUGGGGCUGAAGUAGGUCCCAAGGGUAUGGCUGUUCGCCAUUUAAAGUGGUACGCGAGCUGGGUUUAGAACGUCGUGAGACAGUUCGGUCCCUAUCUGCCGUGGGCGCUGGAGAACUGAGGGGGGCUGCUCCUAGUACGAGAGGACCGGAGUGGACGCAUCACUGGUGUUCGGGUUGUCAUGCCAAUGGCACUGCCCGGUAGCUAAAUGCGGAAGAGAUAAGUGCUGAAAGCAUCUAAGCACGAAACUUGCCCCGAGAUGAGUUCU
RNAcentral lists this ribosomal RNA (2773 nucleotides) under Escherichia coli. RNAcentral's name for it is "bacterial LSU rRNA". It matches the Rfam family "Bacterial large subunit ribosomal RNA". Lineage: Bacteria; Pseudomonadati; Pseudomonadota; Gammaproteobacteria; Enterobacterales; Enterobacteriaceae. The record is from RNAcentral.